This 484-nucleotide ribosomal RNA is filed under the name uncultured bacterium. RNAcentral describes it as "partial 16S ribosomal RNA". It matches the Rfam family "Bacterial small subunit ribosomal RNA", at positions 28 to 507 of the family's 1533-position model. The record is from RNAcentral.
GUUGAACGCUGGCGGCAGGCCUAACACAUGCAAGUCGAGCGGAUGAAGGGAGUUCUCUUCUCGAUUCAGCGGCGGACGGGUGGGUAAUGCCCAGGAAUCUGCCUGGCAUUGGGGGAUGACAUACGGAAACGGGCGCUAAUACCGCAUCCGUCCUGAGGGAGAAAGAGAGGGAUCUUGUGACCUCACGCUAUCAGCUUAGCCUAGGUCGGAUUAGCUAGUGGGUUGGGUAAAGGCCUACCAAGGGGACGAUCCGUAACUGGUCUGAGAGGAUGAUCAGUCAAACUGGAACUGGGACACGGCCCAGACUCCUACGGAAGGAACAGUAGGGGAAUAUUGGCAAAUGGGCGAAAGCCUGAUGCAGACAUGCCGCGUGUGUGAAGAGGUUCUUCGGAUGGUAAACUAUUUUAAGAUGGGAGAAAGGGCAGUAGGUUAAUACCUUGAUGUUUUGACGUUAACAACAGAGUAAGCACCGGCUAACUUCGUG